Long non-coding RNA from Mustela erminea (ermine), 1245 nucleotides. RefSeq lists it as uncharacterized. The record is from RefSeq and is a predicted model, not a curated record. NCBI's taxonomy places the organism in Eukaryota, Metazoa, Chordata, Mammalia, Carnivora, Mustelidae. The transcript has 3 exons.
AGACCUGGAGGAGGGCUCAGAGAGGGCACCGGGGUCCGCGGCAUGCACGGUCAAGCAGAGCGGACCCCGCGAGCCUCAAGAACACCCACCCGCCCUGGGAUCCUGCAUUUCCAGAGCCUUCCUGCCCUACAUCUCCAUCUUUCCCCGAGCCAAUCGGACCAUCAGUGCUCGGGUGUCCACGACAGCGGAGUGGCAGCGUCCACUUGGCGUGGCGAUGCUGAGUGUUUGGAGGUGGGAGGCCAGCCUCAGCGGCCACUCUGCCCCCGACUGCCCAGGCAAUCCUGCAAGCCUCGGGGGGCCAUCGGCAGGAUCAGGCAUGACGCAGGUACAGCUCCAACUGCAGUGACGUCAUGCCUGAUGCUCUUGGAAACAUCGUGUUGUCACAGGGCUGCUGUGCAUUCGAAGCCCCCCAGCAGCAAGGGGAAGGGUGAGGAGCGGUCAGUCGGUGAGGGUGGCACCCAGGGCAAGGUGCCCCAGUGGGGGCUAAGUGUGAACGUCUCCCCAGGAGUGAUUCGUCUGGCACACACCCUUGCCCUUGUGGGAUUCUUCCAAACUGCCCGGGAGCAGCCACUGGACAGCGGCUCCAGCUCCGGGACCCCAACAAGGGCCAUCAUUCUGAGGGCAAAAGAGGGGCGAACCGUUCCAUCUUCCAAGCCUAGCGAGUCAACCGCCUUAUGAUCCACAGUUGACAGAAGCAAAAACGGACGCAGAGAGAGGCCAUAUGACCACCCCCGGUCCCUCAAGAAGGUGGCAGAGGGAGGAGUGGAACCCAGAAUCCACCCAAGAUAAGCCACAAGACCCCCGAGACGAGCCACUGACUACAAGUGAACAGAAACCCGGGCUUCUGGGUCCAGGCAGCAGAGGCAAAGCCAGAAGAAGACAAAUCAGGGACAACAUUGUCUCCAUGCCCCGCCUGCAGGGACUUUCUCCCUUGGACUGAUGGCGCCAAAAUGUAGCCAGACACUCCCUCUGAAGGACACCGAGGGCCACAGCUAGUGACGUGACUGCCACGGUUUUACAAGAGACCCAUCCGCCAGACCAGCUCUGCCCGGGCCCCUCGGGAGGCGGAGGCUGGGAAGGCUCCCCCUCUGUGCGCAGAAACCGGCAGCCCACGGCAUUCAGAGUAGCGUUGCCACCAACGACCCCGCACCUGAGCAGGACUGAGCAUGGUAAGAACUUGGCCCCCAGGAGACACCCGGGUGGCUCAGUCGGUUAAGCGCCCGCCUUCAGCUAGGGGACUUGAUU